Macadamia integrifolia is the source of this 481-nucleotide long non-coding RNA. RefSeq lists it as uncharacterized. The transcript is spliced from 2 exons. The record is from RefSeq and is a predicted model, not a curated record. Lineage: Eukaryota; Viridiplantae; Streptophyta; Magnoliopsida; Proteales; Proteaceae.
ACAUACCUCUGUGUAGACGCCUUCACCCUCUUUCAGGUGGUACGUUUGUGUCUCCCAUACAUUCCUUCCGUAAGGAAUUAAAAUUCCCGAAAUACCCCUACUUGGUCAUAUUUGCCAUUCGGAGCAUCACCCUUCAAGGAGGUUUUUGGCACCCUACGGCAGCCGAUUCUGGCCAAAUGGACGUGCUUAUAUUGAGCUGAGGUGAUCCCACGCAUCAAGGGUGCUCUCAACCCAUCACCGCUCGAGUCGGCUGGUUGUAGGUUCGAGUCUUGGUGUGCCCACUAUUGCCCAUUGGUCUUGUGGAAGCGCUGCUUGUCGUACGGGGGUUUGUCCUGGGGGCCAUGAUCACUACCAUGGAGCAUCCUUUUUUCUUUACCAAAAAAAUCCGACUGUGUUAGGUUUUAACCUGUUUAAUGCAUACAUGUUUGGCAUUUUGGAUUUUUCUUAAUAGUUUGGUCCUCUAGGGGCAUUUUGAUAAUUU